GACGAACGCUGGCGGCGUGCCUAAUACAUGCAAGUCGAACGAGAGCGACCGGUGCUUGCACUGGUCAAUCUAGUGGCGAACGGGUGAGUAACACGUGGGUAACCUGCCCAUCAGAGGGGGAUAACAUCCGGAAACGGAUGCUAAAACCGCAUAGGUCUUCGAACCGCAUGGUUUGAAGAGGAAAAGAGGCGCAAGCUUCUGCUGAUGGAUGGACCCGCGGUGCAUUAGCUAGUUGGUGAGGUAACGGCUCACCAAGGCCGUGAUGCAUAGCCGACCUGAGAGGGUGAUCGGCCACAUUGGGACUGAGACACGGCCCAAACUCCUACGGGAGGCAGCAGUAGGGAAUCUUCCGCAAUGGACGCAAGUCUGACGGAGCAACGCCGCGUGAGUGAAGAAGGUUUUCGGAUCGUAAAACUCUGUUGUUAGAGAAGAACAAGUGCUAGAGUAACUGUUAGCGCCUUGACGGUAUCUAACCAGAAAGCCACGGCGAACUACGU
This 497-nucleotide ribosomal RNA is filed under the name uncultured bacterium. Its description in RNAcentral is "partial 16S ribosomal RNA". It matches the Rfam family "Bacterial small subunit ribosomal RNA", at positions 28 to 506 of the family's 1533-position model. The record is from RNAcentral.